This 440-nucleotide unclassified non-coding RNA is filed under the name Hevea brasiliensis (rubber tree). The record is from RNAcentral. Lineage: Eukaryota; Viridiplantae; Streptophyta; Magnoliopsida; Malpighiales; Euphorbiaceae.
GAGGACCUACCCUACUUGGAUGAAAUGAAGAAUCCAAGCCUUCAACAAUGUCGCCUUCCAAACUCUUCAACGAUCGGAACCUCUCUGAGAUCAGUGAAGUGAGAUGAGAAUGAGCAGCGACAAUGAUAACUUCCACCCCAAACGAAGACACGAACAACAAACGAUGAAAUGGAAGCUGCGGGGUCGGUUAACUCGCCAAUCUGCCAACUUUGUGCUCAUCGCAAUCUUGGAAAACUCUCUCUAAGACCGCUUAAGGCUCUCCCUUAGUUCGUUUGAACAGGAAAAUGACAACACACCUCCUCUACUUCUCCCGACAACGAACAAGAAGAUAACCAAAAGAAAAAAUCUCGAUGGUUCUCCUACAACAGACGAAAAAAAAAGUGUUUUCUCCAGAAAACCUUUAUGAAUCUUCGUGAUAACUCUCCAACUCUCAAAGAAAA